Molecule: transfer RNA, 72 nt
Filed under: Treponema sp.
Lineage: Bacteria; Pseudomonadati; Spirochaetota; Spirochaetia; Treponematales; Treponemataceae
Description: tRNA-Gln
Rfam family: tRNA
About the family: Transfer RNA (tRNA) molecules are approximately 80 nucleotides in length.
Source: RNAcentral
UGGGACGUCGGCAAGUGGUAAGCCAGAGGUCUUUGGAGCCUCUAUACGCUGGUUCGAAUCCAGCCGUCCCAG